UGUCUAUGUAUUGCACGGCAGGGUAAA
This 27-nucleotide non-coding RNA is filed under the name Bombyx mori (domestic silkworm). Lineage: Eukaryota; Metazoa; Arthropoda; Insecta; Lepidoptera; Bombycidae. The record is from RNAcentral.